GCCAGUCCUGUUCGGUCUUGGUUCAUGUGCUUUAUGGUAACUGAUGAGACCAGGCCCAUUCAUGCCCAUGUUCUAGUCCUAUGGAAGAAGCUGUAAACCUUGGACUUAAUUAGUUCCAGAGAACUGCUGGUUUAUGUUUUAGCUCUUGCCAAGUUGUGAAAAUAGUGAAGGAUGCUUAGACUACUUAACAUUCAAAUUGCUCUCUGGUUAAUCAUCUUUAGAAGAUUGGAUUGCUGGACAUCUACUCCACUCCUCUAUUGACUUUUAAGCUAUGAUAAUGCAAACCUAUAACACUGGCAAUCAUCCAUGAACCUUUAAUUGCACUGAUUAAUAGCGUUUCAAGCUUCCUCAGGGAAUACACAAUGACAUCAGCUGUGGUUGACAGUGGAGGAGGUUCUGUUUUGGAGCUUUCCAGCAGUGGAGUAGAGAAUCAAGAGGAAGGUGAGAAGGUUUCUGACUAUCCAGCAGUGAUUGUGGAGCCAGUUCCCAGUGCCAGAUUAGAGCAGGGCUAUGCAGCCCAGGUUCUGGUUUAUGAUGAUGAGACUUAUAUGAUGCAAGAUGUGGCAGAAGAACAAGAAGUUGAGACCGAGAAUGUGGAAACAGUGGAAGCAUCAGUUCAUAGCAGUAAUGCACACUGUACAGAUAAGACAAUUGAAGCUGCUGAAGCCCUGCUUCAUAUGGAAUCUCCUACCUGCUUGAGGGAUUCAAGAAGUCCUGUGGAAGUGUUUGUCCCUCCUUGUGUAUCAACUCCAGAAUUUAUCCAUGCUGCUAUGAGGCCAGAUGUCAUUACAGAAACUGUAGUGGAGGUGUCAACUGAAGAAUCUGAACCAAUGGAUACCUCUCCUAUUCCUACAUCACCUGAUAGCCAUGAACCAAUGAAAAAGAAAAAAGUUGGCCGUAAACCGAAGACCCAGCAAUCACCAAUUUCCAAUGGUUCUCCUGAGUUGGGUAUAAAGAAGAAACCCAGAGAAGGAAAAGGAAACACAACCUACUUGUGGGAGUUUCUUUUAGAUCUACUUCAAGAUAAAAAUACUUGUCCCCGAUAUAUUAAGUGGACUCAGAGAGAAAAGGGCAUAUUCAAGCUUGUAGAUUCAAAGGCUGUCUCUAAGCUUUGGGGAAAGCAUAAGAACAAGCCAGACAUGAACUAUGAAACCAUGGGACGAGCUUUGAGAUAUUAUUACCAAAGGGGUAUUCUUGCAAAGGUUGAAGGACAGAGGCUUGUUUAUCAGUUCAAGGAUAUGCCCAAAAACAUAGUGGUCAUAGACGAUGACAAAAGUGAAACCUGCAAUGAAGAUUUGGCAGCAGCUACUGAUGAAAAGUCAUUAGAACGAGUGUCGCUAUCUGCAGAAAGUCUCCUGAAAGCAACCUCUGUUCGUGGUGGGAAAAACUCUUCUCCUCUAAACUGCUCCAGAGCAGAGAAGGGAGUAGCGAGAGUUGUGAAUAUCACUUCCCCUGGUCAUGAUGCUUCGUCCAGGUCUCCUACUACUACCACAUCUGUAUCAGCGACAGCAGCCCCAAGGACAGUUCGUGUGGCAAUGCAAGUUCCUGUUGUAAUGACAUCGUUGGGCCAGAAAAUUUCAACUGUGGCAGUUCAGUCAGUUAAUGCAGGUGCACCAUUAAUAACCAGCACUAGUCCAACAACAGCAACCUCUCCAAAGGUAGUUAUUCAGACAAUCCCUACUGUGAUGCCAGCCUCUACUGAAAGUGGAGACAAAAUCACCAUGCAGCCUGCCAAAAUUAUCACCAUCCCAGCUACACAGCUUGCACAGUGUCAACUGCAGACGAAGUCAAAUCUGACUGGAUCUGGAAGCAUUAACAUUGUUGGAACCCCACUGGCUGUGAGAGCACUUACUCCUGUUUCCAUAGCCCAUGGUGCACCUGUAAUGAGGCUAUCAGUGCCUACUCAACAGGCAUCUGGCCAGACUCCUCCCCGAGUGAUCAGUGCGGUCAUAAAAGGGCCAGAGGUUAAAUCGGAGGCAGUGACAAUAAAGCAGGAACAUGACGUGAAAACUUUGCAGCUGGUACAAGAAGAAAAACCAGCAGACGGAAAUAAGACAGUGACCCAUGUAGUGGUUGUCAGUGCCCCUUCAGCUAUUGCCCUGCCCGUAACUAUGAAAACGGAAGGACUAGUGACAUGUGAGAAAUAAAAGAGCAGCUCUGCCAUGGACUUUAGACAUGUUAGUAACAGUACUAACAUAAAUGUUUGCAAGGGAUGUCAUCAAGAAAAGUCAAAAGGAGACUUUAAAACAUUUUUAAUGCAUAUAGGAAAACAAUCAAACUUACUGGAAAUAAGUUACCUGUCCCAUGUUUCAGUGGGAAAUGAACUACAUGUUGAGAUGCUGACAGAAAACUGCCUCUUACCUAGGAAACAACUGAACCCAUCAAUAAAAGGAUUGAAAGGGACCAAGCAACUCACUACAAUGUCAAGUUACACUAAGACUUGGAACACUAACAUUCUGGAUGUUUCAAACAAGAACCUAAAAGGAUAGCGUGAACAUUAUUUCCCUCCCCUACAGAGCAAUAGGCUCUAUCCUUCGGCCUAGGUGUGUAGUGGGCUGUACCACCGCAGUUUGUGUAAGUAUGAUGUUCACGUGAUGCUGACACCUGCUAAUGACACAUUUCUCAGAACAUGUCUCUCUCAAUAAGUGGCUGGUGACUGUUGUUGGAUACCUGAAAUUCACAUAUUAGUUUGACUUUCAUUCUCAUUCAGAUUUGUUUACUCAAGGCUGUCAUGAUCUCUCUUCAGGUUGGUGUACUUUGGGGUAGAAAAACAAUAUUUAAUGCCUGUACAUAUAAGUAUUGUAAUUAGUGUUGUUUCUCAGCAACAUGAUUACUAUUAGUCAUGCUAAGAUUUGAACCAAAUAGUAUGGAUGGUCUUUCUGCUUGCCAUUCCUUCCAGGUAUACAAUGUACUGAGAAACUUCAUUUGUUUCACAAGUGGUUCCAAUGCAGAAUACUUGGGUGAACCCUUUUGGGAGCUCCAACCUUGGCACUGAGAGAUACCAUACAACAAAAGCACAGCAAAGAUGCCUUCAAUGUGCAGCUAUAGAUGUGCUUUGUUCACUUUUAAAAUAAAUAUCUGUGUGUAAAUGAAUAGUGUGAACCCACCAUGUUAACAGUAUUAAAAGAUCAAAUCACCCUAGCUGGUUUGGCUCAGUGGAUAGAGCGUUGGCCUGUGGACUGAAGGGUCCUGGGUUUGAUUCCCAGUCAGCGCAUAUGCCUGAGUUGUGGGCUCGAUUCCCAGUGUGGGGCGUGCAGGAGGCAGCCAGCCGAUUAAUGAAUCUCUCUCAUCAUUGAGGUUUCUAUAGCUCCCUCUCUGAAGUCAGUAUAAAAGAUCAAGUCUACCCCAGAUUCUUUUUGGACUAAAAAUACAAGAUAUUAAAGUACUAGUUUCAAAAGACCAUUUAUUAAUUUUAAAUAUAUACAAUUCAUGGAUUAAAAUAUUCAAUUUAUUACCCAUAGGUUAUUUGCUGGGACUUUGUUUGGAAGGGGCUUCACCUUGACCACUUUUUCCCCCCCAAGGAAAGAGAAUUCCAAGUUAUCUUUCCUUUUACAUUCUUUCUAGACACUCUGAGCCAGUCACCUGGCUGUCUUAGGAAAUUACAAUGACAGCCUGUGAACAGGCUUUCUGGUUGCCCAUCUCUGAAAAGAAGGUCCCCCUGACUUUACCAGCCACUACUCCUAAAUAACCCAUCGUGAACAGCACAUUCCAAUACAAAUCACUGUGACACUGAGUGGCCACAAAUCAAAUGUAUACCAGUAGCAUUCCAACAGAAAUCUGUAAAUGCAUAGCAGUGAUUAAAUGACAAAGACCAACUGGUCAUGGAAUCUUCAAGAAAUAAAAUAAUGGGGAACAUGGAGGCACAGCAAGAAUUGUUAUGAAGAACUUAUCGAGACCAGCUAUUUCCACUUAAAACAAAAAAAAAACAAACCCCUGGGGCCUCCA
RNA transcript from Myotis myotis, 3945 nucleotides. It is a transcript of the gene named E74 like ETS transcription factor 2, with no coding region annotated. The transcript is spliced from 12 exons. The record is from RefSeq and is a predicted model, not a curated record. NCBI's taxonomy places the organism in Eukaryota, Metazoa, Chordata, Mammalia, Chiroptera, Vespertilionidae.